UAAAGGAAUUGGCGGGGGAGCACCACAAGGGGUGAAGCCUGCGGUUCAAUUGGAGUCAACGCCAGAAAUCUUACCCGGAGAGACAGCAGAAUGAAGGUCAAGCUGAAGACUUUACCAGACAAUGCUGAGAGGUGGUGCAUGGCCGUCGCCAGCUCGUGCCGUGAGAUGUCCUGUUAAGUCAGGUAACGAGCGAGAUCCUCGCCACUAGUUGCUAUCAUUAUUCUCAGGAAUAGUGGGGCGAAUUAGUGGGACUGCCGUUGUUAAAACGGAGGAAGGAGGGGGCUACGGCAGGUCAGUAUGCCCCGAAACUCUGGGGCCACACGCGGGCUGCAAUGGUAGCGACAAUGAGCUCCAAACUCGAAAGAGAGUGGCAAUCUCUAAACGCUACCACAGUUAUGACUGAGGGCUGUAACUCGCCCUCACGAAUAUGGAAUCCCUAGUAACCGCGUGUCAUUACCGCGCGGUGAAUACGUCCCUGCUCCUUGCGACACACCGCCA
RNAcentral lists this ribosomal RNA (498 nucleotides) under uncultured archaeon. RNAcentral's name for it is "bacterial SSU rRNA". It matches the Rfam family "Archaeal small subunit ribosomal RNA", at positions 857 to 1351 of the family's 1478-position model. The record is from RNAcentral.